This 3707-nucleotide unclassified non-coding RNA is filed under the name Nilaparvata lugens (brown planthopper). RNAcentral describes it as "viral IAP-associated factor homolog, transcript variant X3". Lineage: Eukaryota; Metazoa; Arthropoda; Insecta; Hemiptera; Delphacidae. The record is from RNAcentral.
GGAGAGCACAAUGCAGGCAAGCACACUGUUCUAUUUUCCCUAUUUAGGUUAAGUGGAUUUUCGAUUAAUUGUGUCCUAUUUGGAGACUUUGUGGGUCAAAUUAAGCUUAUACGUAGAUUACGUCUAUGUAGGGAACCUUGUCAUGAAUAUUGUUUUUGUAAAUUAAUUAGCCAGUUCAUGUUUGCUGUAUAUUGGAUAAACAUGUUAGAACCACAUUUUGUUUCAAAAACCCGAAUGAAGAUACAGAAUGGAACGAUAUUCUGCGUAGCAAAGGAAUAAUACCGCCAAAGGAGAAAGAGCUUACAGAAGAUGACGUCGUCAAUAUUGUUGAAUCGACUAUCAAAGAGAAGCAAUCAAACGGCAAACAGCUUGAGGAUUGUUCGCUGGACGAGCUUGAUGAGCUGGAAGAUGAAGAAGACGAGAGGGUGCUGCUGGAGUUGCGAGAGAGGAGGUUAGCCGAACUGCGCGCCGAGGCAGCCAAGGCCAAGUACAGGGAAGUCCGCGAAAUCAGUGCCGUCGACUACGUAGAUGAAGUCAACAAAGCUGGCCAAGGAGUCUGGGUCAUCCUCCAUCUCUACAAACAGGGGAUUCCGUUGUGUGCUCUCAUCAAUCAGCAUCUGAAUGAAUUGGCUCAGAAAUUUCCAGCCACAAAAUUCUUGAAGAGUGUUUCGACAACUUGCAUCCCCAACUAUCCGGAUCGCAAUCUGCCCACUAUCUUUGUCUACUUUGAAGGAGAACUGAAGAUUCAGUUUGUUGGACCGCUGGAAUUUCGGGGACCGAAUCUCUCCGUUGAUGAUUUGGAGUGGAUGCUGGGCCAGGCGGGAGCAAUUGUGUCGCAGAUGAGCGAGGACCCUCGACCCAAGCCUCGCGACGCGCUGCUCUCGGCUCUCAACCAAAAUGACGAUUGGUGACACACACACAUACACGCGCACGAACACACCCACUCGGCCUCCGACUUCAGCUAUCCCACCUGCUUCUCGGUUUUCUGCUUUGUCUGCUGCUUUUUCUAAUAACUGAUUCGUCAGUUACUGUUCUACGUGAAAUGAAACGCGCAACAUUAUUUUGACUAUAUUUUUAUUCGAAAUUUGGCAACUUAUCAAGCUUUUACACGUAAAUAUUAUGCCAAACCCUCAAUACUAAAGCUUAUUCAAUUUGAAUUGUUUCGAUGUAUCAUAUUAUUCCAAAUUCUACAACUUCUACAUUAUUGUUUCAGUAGAAUAUGUUCUACACAUUCAAUUUUAUUCUAUAUAGGACAUUAUUUUAAUCUCCGUAAAUUUCUCAGUCGAGUUGUUAUCAUUAUUUUGUAUUUAUAUGAAUGUAACUCUAUUUAAUUUUAUUCUACAUAGAACAUUAUUUUAAUCUCCAUGAAUUUCUCAGUCGAGCUGUUAUCAUUAUUUUGUAUCUAUAAAAAUGAAACUAAUAUUUAAUCUUGAAUAGCUAUUAAUUUCAUCCCCUUAUUCGAAAAAAUAUGGACACCGUCAAUAAAAUUGAUAGAGUCUAUAGUAUAUUCUACGAAUAUUUUUGUAGUUGAAUGUUCCUUAUUAGAUAGUUUUUUACAAAUAUGAUUCAUGAAAAUUUUAUCUCUUUCCGAUAUUAAAGAUUGUUCUAACUACAAUAAGUAUUGCACAUUGAACAUUGAAUCUGAUACAGGUGCUAUGGAAAUAAUGCUUCUGUCAAUGACUGGAGCUGUGAUUGAAGUGAUGUACGGAGAACAAAGAUAACUUACUUAAUUUUUCCAUUUAUAUUGUAGAGGAAUUCUUUUUUCCUUGCAUUGUUGACCUAUUCUUGUGCUAAUUUAUUUCAUAGAUUUCUGGUUGAGCUAGAAAUAUAUUUUAUAUCUAGCAACUAGAUGAAAUUCCCAAGUGAUAAUCAAACACCAAAUAGAGUUAUAAAUUUAGGUAAAGUCCAUUUUAUCCAUUGCAUUUUUUUAUUAUUAGAAAUUCAUAUUCGUAUAAAUUUGAUAUUAGUAAAUGAAAACAUAUCAGUAUUAAAUUUGUACAUUAUAUUGACCUUAUUAAAAAAUCGACUAUUUAGUUUGAACAAAAUUGAUUAAUGAUGCUUAAUAUCUUUCAGUCGCCGAUUUAUCAAAACAUUGAUUCGAUGAACUGUUUUUUUAAAAGAUAUACAUACUUUUGAGACAUACUAAUAUUAUUAAAAUACUAUUAUAUUAUUAAAAUAGCCUUACAUGGUCAUAGACUCGCUGAUCUAGGAAUACGAAAUUGUUUUAAAAUACUAUUACAGUUAUUGUAACUAGAAUAAACCAGAAUUUCACCGAAAAUUCCGUUUGCAUAAUAAUAAUUCAUGAAUCGAAACUAAUGCUAGUUUUAGUUUAAUAACCGUGAUGCUUAAUUAGUCUACAUUAGAAUGAAGAAUAAAAUGGAUUAUUAUUAUUAUUAUUAAGCUCAGACAGACUCUGCUCUUUCAACUUCAUGUUAACCACUUUUACUAAAUUUUAUUCAUCGAUAGAAAAUAACUAUACCAUGGUAUUUUUAAAGAGCAAUAUAUAAAUGUGAUUACUUAUUAUUCAUUUAUCGAACAAUACGCGUAUAUCAGAAUACACACAUGUGUUUUUUACUAAAAUACGGUUUAUAAUAUUAUAUACUAUAAUCAUUAUACUUACCAAAAUAUAGGCUACGGUAAUUAUAUGAGAAUUAUUUAUUUCAAUAUAAUAUUGGAAUAUUUAAGUAGUUAAUCGGCUACAAUAUUACUAAUGAGUAUAUUCUUCUAGUAUUUUUGAGUCAUAAGAAAAGCUUCAAUACUGUGAGUCAUCAAAUUUAAUUAAAUAGGAGACAUAAUUUUUAUUACUAAUAAUAAAGUCAACAUGUAUUUCAUGAGAAUAUUUUCUUACAUAGGUUGAAGUAAUUUGCCAAUUCAAAAUUAGCAACUUUAUAAUAAUGAUAAGAGAUAAGCAUGAUUCACAAGAACUGAAAUUUGUAUAGCAGAUUGACUUUCUUGAAAUUUUUAGAUGCCGUGCUUUUAUAAAGUAGUAUACAUACUGUAUUUUUUAUAUUGUUACUAUGCUAUUCAAUCUCUUAUCUAGUAUGGUACCGGUAUACCUAUAUGUUUCAUAAAUUAUAUAAUAAUAUAAAUAAUUACAAAAAUAUUCUUGUCACAACUAUAUAAACAAACAUCCAUGUAGAAUAAAGCCCUGCGCUCACCAAUGAGAAUUAAUCUUUGUCAUAAAAAUCAACUUUGAAAUCAUCCUGCAGCUUACACUCAUCUCACGUCGCCGUGCCCAAGGCUUAGCGUUCCAUUCACUGCCCUAUUUGUUGUCCAACUUGUUCGACUACUAGUAGGAUCGUUUUCACCACUCACGCUCUGUCUUGUUUUUCAACUUCAGUCUAGUCGGAUGGAGAGCAAACGCUAGUUUGAUGUCGGACCUCAAGAAAUGUUACUGAUGAUCCAACAUACGUCCAGACUUCCAACCCAUUUACGGUCCGAUUUCGUAUUCAACAUUGGAUGUUGGACGACUAGCUGAACAACAAAUCGGACAGUGAAUGGCUUGCUUUAUCUCAGAAAAUAAUAUUCAACAUUUCUUCUCUCAACUUAUAUAAAUCUGAAAUUAAAAUGAUUCUUUCUACAGGUUUGUAAUAUGCUAAUUUUAGAACGGCAUUUGAUUACUCGUUAUUUUAAUAUUAGUUUGUAAUGUGUAAGUAGGUUUCUUAUUUCUGUUCUAUUAAAACUAACCAUCAAUACUGAGUAAAGAA